GAGGGAAAAGAGAAAAGAAUGGAUUGAACUUUAAACUGUUUUCAAGGUCAGGCUAGGGAACUGAGCUGCAAAGAGGCUAUUACUAUUGUGGGUGGAACUCAAAGGGUUUGAUUAAGUCCUCUCGCUGUUUAAAUACUCUGUGUUGAGCUGGCAAUCCAGGGUUUCAGCUGCCCCGGAAGCAAAUACGGCCUGGGCAGUCUCUUCCUUCAUUUUUCUUGGUAGCUGAAGGGGGCCCAUAGAUAUUUCAUUUAGCUUGUACUGUGCAGGCCCACGAGUGUUUAAAAAUUAUUAAAUUUGUUGCUGACAUACGAAAAAGCUGGUUGGUUUCUCCAAAAAUAAAAAAUAAAAAAGUCUGGCCAGUGAGGCCCAUAUUCCCCUGCAGCCGCCAAGGGCUGGGAGCAGUGUGAGGCUGCUGCCUCUUCCCUUGGGGCGCAAACCCCUGGCUGAGCCAGAGAUGUCGCUCUGCCUGUUCUGGCCUCACCUCCUUUUCCCUCCUUGGCUUCCUUCUUCCUGCCCCUUUGUCACAAGCAGCUGGUGCCAAGGGACCUCCUGACUCGCCUCUGCUUUCAGACUCACCCCGCUGAUCCUGCUCUGUGUCUCAAAGCCUGCCUUCUCCCAGGUGGCGUCAGCUAACAGCCCACAUUUUUAAGCAGGAGACUAGAGUUUAGCCCCUGGGUUGGGAAGAUCCCCUGGAGGAAGAAAUGGCAGCACACUCCAGUAUUCUUGCCCAGAAAAUUCCACGGACAGAGGAUCCUGGUGGGCUAUAGUUCAUUUGGUGGCAAAAAGAGUUGCGUGUGACUGAGCACACACAAACAUUUUUACCAAAAAUAAACUAAAUAAAAUAAAUGUCAUCCUUA
Long non-coding RNA from Bubalus bubalis (water buffalo), 857 nucleotides. RefSeq lists it as uncharacterized. NCBI's taxonomy places the organism in Eukaryota, Metazoa, Chordata, Mammalia, Artiodactyla, Bovidae. The record is from RefSeq and is a predicted model, not a curated record. The transcript has 2 exons.